CGUAGGGUGCGAGCGUUAAUCGGAAUUACUGGGCGUAAAGCGUGCGCAGGCGGUUUUGUAAGACAGAUGUGAAAUCCCCGGGCUCAACCUGGGACCUGCAUUUGUGACUGCAAGGCUAGAGUACGGUAGAGGGGGAUGGAAUUCCGCGUGUAGCAGUGAAAUGCGUAGAUAUGCGGAGGAACACCGAUGGCGAAGGCAAUCCCCUGGACCUGUACUGACGCUCAUGCACGAAAGCGUGGGGAGCAAACAGGAUUAGAUACCCUGGUAGUCCACGCCCUAAACGAUGUCAACUGGUUGUUGGGUCUUUACUGACUCAGUAACGAAGCUAACGCGUGAAGUUGACGCCUGGGGAGUACGGCCGCAAGGUUG
RNAcentral lists this ribosomal RNA (369 nucleotides) under uncultured organism. RNAcentral describes it as "bacterial SSU rRNA". It matches the Rfam family "Bacterial small subunit ribosomal RNA", at positions 526 to 896 of the family's 1533-position model. The record is from RNAcentral.